This 330-nucleotide ribosomal RNA is filed under the name uncultured bacterium. Its description in RNAcentral is "bacterial SSU rRNA". It matches the Rfam family "Bacterial small subunit ribosomal RNA", at positions 8 to 334 of the family's 1533-position model. The record is from RNAcentral.
AGGGUUCGAUUAUGGCUCAGAUUGAACGCUGGCGGCAGGCUUAACACAUGCAAGUCGAACGGUAACAGGGAUUAGCUUGCUAAUUUGCCGACGAGUGGCGGACGGGUGAGUAAUGCUUGGGAAUCUGGCUUAUGGAGGGGGAUAACUACGGGAAACUGUAGCUAAUACCGCGUAAAAUCUUCGGAUUAAAGGGUGGGACUUUCGGGCCACCUGCCAUGAGAUGAGCCCAAGUGGGAUUAGGUAGUUGGUUAGGUAAAGGCUGACCAAGCCGACGAUCUCUAGCUGGUCUGAGAGGAUGACCAGCCACACUGGAACUGAGACACGGUCCAG